AGUGCUGUUUUCCGUGGUAGCGAUCUUCCUUUCUAACCGCUUCCCCCUGCGUCGUUCAUUUCCGUCGGAGGAGAGGUCGAGGAAGAUGCUUUUCCCUUGGCUUUUCCCUGGCUCGGAAGUCCUUUUAUGGCUGGAUGAGGACGUGAGACAAGAUCACUUAUAUGUGGCCAAUUUACUGUGCCAUGAAGACUUUUUGGCAAGUCGAGUUACAGGAGCUGGAUAAUGGAUGACACAGAAAGGCUUUCCCUGCCUGGUCAUCACAUGCUUUUCAUCUAUUCUGAUGAUUGUUGGAAGUCUUAAGCACUGCUCAUCACAUCACUUUGAAGGGUAAGGAUGCCUUGAAGCAGGCCUUGAAAUUGGAAAACACAUUAUCCAUGUUUUCCUGCUGACUGGAAGGAUUCACAGUGAUGAAGGGUCAACAGUUUCUGUUCCAUUCAAGACUUCAUAGGCUGGGAUGAUACGAUGAGUUCAAGUUGGCAUUUCCCUGGGUCAGUGAACAAGAUGCUGCUGGUGUUUUUUACUAUGACAGGUUUCUUGACACAACAGCUGAUUAACAGCCUGAAAGCAAGCAAUGGAUAUAUUUAAUGGCUUUCGUGCUGUCGGUGAAUGAGCGUAGUGCAGGACGGAUGCGGUGGAGCUGGCACUUUCUUUCGGACAAAAUGUUCAUCAGAUCAUAUGGCAUUACAAGUUUAAACUGCAACAGCGGCGUUUCAGCGAUGCUGUCAUCUUCUCAGCCUUCUCUUUCUCACAGCUGCAACACUAUCAUCAGAAGUCGAGAAAUCUGAACGUCUCAUCACGCUGACUACUCUUGUGAUGAGGUGACCCGAGCAAUGCUUGGUGUGCCGCGACCCAUGGAGCUUAUCAGUGGCAGUGGGACGGAGGCAGUCGCUGCACGAGUGCCAUGAGCAUAGAUGACAGGAAUGCAUCGGUCCUGUGUUUGUGGCGAAUGGAGAACAUCGGGAGGAGAGUUGUGGAUCAGCAUUUGAUGAAAGCUGGGAACUGCUAGAACAAACGGCGGUCUUUUUCCCUUGUUCAAUCCCAAGACAUACACUGGUAGAGUUGUGAUGGUAUGUAAGUGCGACAAAUACACGUUACCGAUGAAAAA
This is a long non-coding RNA of Amphibalanus amphitrite, 1105 nucleotides long. RefSeq lists it as uncharacterized. NCBI's taxonomy places the organism in Eukaryota, Metazoa, Arthropoda, Thecostraca, Balanomorpha, Balanidae. The record is from RefSeq and is a predicted model, not a curated record. The transcript is spliced from 15 exons.